RNAcentral lists this ribosomal RNA (254 nucleotides) under uncultured microorganism. RNAcentral's name for it is "partial 16S ribosomal RNA". It matches the Rfam family "Archaeal small subunit ribosomal RNA", at positions 474 to 727 of the family's 1478-position model. The record is from RNAcentral.
UACCGGCGGCCCGAGUGGCGGCCGUGUUUAUUGGGCCUAAAGCGUCCGUAGCCGGCUUGGCAAGUCCCCUGGGAAAUCUGGCGGCUUAACCGUCAGGCGUCCAGAGGAUACUGCCAGGCUUGGGACCGGGAGAGGUGAGAGGUACCUCAGGGGUAGGGGUGAAAUCUUGUGAUCCCUGAGGGACCACCAGUGGCGAAGGCGUCUCACUAGAACGGGUCCGACGGUCAGGGACGAAAGCUGGGGGCACGAACCGG